Molecule: ribosomal RNA, 253 nt
Filed under: uncultured bacterium
Lineage: Bacteria
Description: partial 16S ribosomal RNA
Rfam family: Bacterial small subunit ribosomal RNA
Source: RNAcentral
UACAGAGGGGGCAAGCGUUGUUCGGAAUUACUGGGCGUAAAGGGCGCGUAGGCGGCCUUCUAAGUCGAACGUGAAAUCCCCGGGCUCAACCCGGGAACUGCGUCCGAUACUGGAAGGCUUGAAUCCGGGAGAGGGAUGCGGAAUUCCAGGUGUAGCGGUGAAAUGCGUAGAUAUCUGGAUGAACACCGGUGGCGAAGGCGGCAUCCUGGACCGGCAUUGACGCUGAGGCGCGAAAGCCAGGGGAGCAAACAGG